Molecule: ribosomal RNA, 468 nt
Filed under: uncultured Gigaspora
Lineage: Eukaryota; Fungi; Glomeromycota; Glomeromycetes; Diversisporales; Gigasporaceae
Description: SSU rRNA
Rfam family: Eukaryotic small subunit ribosomal RNA
Source: RNAcentral
AGCAGCCGCGGUAAUUCCAGCUCCAAUAGCGUAUAUUAAAGUUGUUGCAGUUAAAAAGCUCGUAGUUGAAUUUCGGGGUUCUACCUUUGGUCGGGCUUUGUCUGUACUAGCGUGUAGAAUUUCUACCUUCUGGGGAACCAUCAUGUUAUUAAUUUAACGUGGUGGGAAACCAGGACCUUUACCUUGAAAAAUUAGAGUGUUCAAAGCAGGCUUAUGUCUGAAUACAUUAGCAUGGAAUAAUAGAAUAGGACGGUGGUACCUGUUUUAGUGGUUUCUGAAUCACCGUAAUGAUUAAUAGGGAUAGUUGGGGGCAUUAGUAUUCAAUUGUCAGAGGUUGAAAUUCUUGGAUUUAUUGAAGACUAACUUCUGCGUAAAGCAUUUGCCUAAGGAUGUACUUCAUUAAUCAAGAACGAAAGUUAGGGGAUCGAAGACGAUCAGAUACCGUCGUAGUCUUAACCAUAAACUAUG